AGACCUCCGCCACUACCGUUAAAGUAACUGAGAAGUCAUCGCGGCGGACGACUUCAAGAAGGGGACAGAUUUCCAAGGGCAACGAGACGUUCCCGCCGGGCGUGAAGUAUGACAUCAACGCCAUCAUAGCCAUCAUCGCCAACCUCACCUACGACUACGAGUGGAACCUCACCGAGGAGUUCAAUAGGACACUCAUUGAGUAAGUCAUUGUAAACACACUGUUCACUCCUAUGUAUGUAUGACAUCAUCGCCAACCUCACCUACGACUACGAGUGGAACCUCACCGAGGAGUUCAAUAGGACACUCAUUGAGUAAGUCAUUGUAAACACACUGUUCACUCCUAUGUAUGUAUGACAUCAUCGCCAACCUCACCUACGACUACGAGUGGAACCUCACCGAGGAGUUCAAUAGGACACUCAUUGAGUAAGUCAUUGUAAACACACUGUUCACUCCUAUGUAUGUAUGACAUCAUCGCCAACCUCACCUACGACUACGAGUGGAACCUCACCGAGGAGUUCAAUAGGACACUCAUUGAGUAAGUCAUUGUAAACACACUGUUCACUCCUAUGUAUGUAUGACAUCAUCGCCAACCUCACCUACGACUACGAGUGGAACCUCACCGAGGAGUUCAAUAGGACACUCAUUGAGUAAGUCAUUGUAAACACACUGUUCACUCCUAUGUAUGUAUGACAUCAUCGCCAACCUCACCUACGACUACGAGUGGAACCUCACCGAGGAGUUCAAUAGGACACUCAUUGAGUAAGUCAUUGUAAACACACUGUUCACUCCUAUGUAUGUAUGACAUCAUCGCCAACCUCACCUACGACUACGAGUGGAACCUCACCGAGGAGUUCAAUAGGACACUCAUUGAGUAAGUCAUUGUAAACACACUGUUCACUCCUAUGUAUGUAUGACAUCAUCGCCAACCUCACCUACGACUACGAGUGGAACCUCACCGAGGAGUUCAAUAGGACACUCAUUGAACACGGCGUGCCGACGUGCCCGACGGCGAGCACGCUCAGCACGACGCCCACCACGCCGGCAGCCUACGACUUCUCUAACACAUCCAUAGUCGGCAAGGUAUGUCACACCAUCA
Molecule: long non-coding RNA, 1096 nt
Organism: Helicoverpa armigera (cotton bollworm)
Lineage: Eukaryota; Metazoa; Arthropoda; Insecta; Lepidoptera; Noctuidae
Exons: 4
Source: RefSeq, a predicted model, not a curated record